GCUGACACAUCCCUGCCAAUCUCUGGCAGACCCUCCCUCCCAGACCCUCCCACCUCCUGGACAGCAUCCAUGUUGGCAGCUUCAACAUGGAUGCUGUCCAGGAGGUGGGAGGGUCUGGGAGGGAGGGUCUGCCGGAGAUUGGCAGGGAUGUGUCAG
This 156-nucleotide microRNA precursor is filed under the name Pelobates cultripes (western spadefoot toad). Lineage: Eukaryota; Metazoa; Chordata; Amphibia; Anura; Pelobatidae. The record is from RNAcentral.